Molecule: long non-coding RNA, 1079 nt
Organism: Mercenaria mercenaria
Lineage: Eukaryota; Metazoa; Mollusca; Bivalvia; Venerida; Veneridae
Exons: 2
Source: RefSeq, a predicted model, not a curated record
CCCCUUCCUGGUGUGGAUUGGUAAGGUCGUUCCUCCUUGAUGACCGGAUGUAGAACCCUAUAAAAGGAUUUCGGUAACAUGUUGCAUUUAUAUUGUUUUAAACAACGUUGAUAACACAUCAUCGGAAGAAGAAUUAAGCUGAAAAAAUCUUGUCAUGCAAACUAGAGCCAUCGCCUACUUACUGAUAAGCCUAUUAGUCCUGCAAAUGAUGUCAGAAAUUGCUGGCCGGCCACAUAUGAACUGCUGCAGUUACAGAAAAUGUCCACGAGGUAGAUUGUGCGUAAAUAUUGGUUCUCGUUGUCGUUGCAAAAGUAACCGGGUAAUUUCAAACCCUUUCGUAAUGUUUAUGGAACCUGCUGAAAGACACGCGAAAAACGCGGAGGCGUCUACCUAGAAAGUAGAACUGCAAGACCUAACUUUUAGUGCUGGUUGGUUGGAAAUGUCGGGUAUUUUUCUACUGUGAUAUGAAGUUAACUUACUGUGAUGUUAUUGCUUAACGCAUGCGUGCUCAGAUCUCGUCACACCACGCUGAAUGUGGAUAUGAAUAGUGUUCAUUAAGGUACGAAGUCUACAACAUAAAUAACUGUCGCACGAUGUAUACAUACAGCAAAAUUGAGAUAUUACUUCCACACAAUUUGCUAAGAAAUCCUCACUCUGUGAUAUGCACUUGUCAUUUGAAAUCUAAAUAUUUAAAUGUGAAGUUAUCUUUCUACAAUAAAUUAUAUGUCUUGAAGUCUACACACUGCAGUAUGAACUCUUUUCACUGUGAUAUUAAAUUCUUUAAAGUGGCACUGUGCGUUAUGAACUCAGUUGAACUCAACUCACUGCGAUACUGCAUCUAGACGCUAAAUAUAUACAGCGUAGAGAUCGAAAUUAUGUAAAUAACAAACGCAUAUUAUGUUUUACAUUCUAUUUAUUGUGUUCUAUGAAUUUAGUGCUGUUCAUUCUAUUUAUUUGUUACAUUGUGUUUAAUAUGCCAGAUAAUUUACAUGUUUUUCGUCCAUUUUACAAUACUAUAUUAGAUCUACAUUAUUAUUAAGAAUUAUAUUAUUAAGAAACGAAAUAAAAUCUUGAUUUUG